Macaca mulatta (Rhesus monkey) is the source of this 4789-nucleotide non-coding RNA. Lineage: Eukaryota; Metazoa; Chordata; Mammalia; Primates; Cercopithecidae. The record is from RefSeq and is a predicted model, not a curated record.
AAAUGUUAAUCUCCUUUGGCAACACCCUCACAGACACACCCAGGAUCAAUACUUUGCAUCCUUCAAUCCAAUCAAACUGACACUCAAUAUUAGCCAUCACACCAGGUUAAUGAGUUCCUUCUCUAUUCAAUCCCUCUGCUGUUGGACAAACCUUUUACCUUGCUGUUUGCUUCCGAGAUGGUGAGAGAGUUUGGGUUUGAAGCAGAUGCUGAUCAGUGACCUUCACCACACUUUCCUAGUCACAGUAUCAUAGUUGUUCUGAACCUACCAAGUCAAGCCAAGAGACAGCAUCCUUCCUUUGUGUGUGUGUGUAGAAUUGACACUCUUGCCUUCGCUCUUGUAACAUUUGGAGUUUAUAGGGAACCACAGAGAGAAAACAUCCUCUAUUUUGAUUUCUUCCUGGUAGUUUUACUUUCUCUAAACUUUUUGUUUGGUUCUAGUGGCUCCACAGUGCCUCCUACUCAGCCCUCCAAAACCCAAACUUCCCACCUGUCAAACCACCCUAAGUCCUUAUUUCCCUUCCCCUUCCAGAAGCAGUUAGGAGGAAGGGGGUGUGGUCAGAACCAGACCCACUUCUAACAUUUUCAGAGCCCAAAACAUGAGUAUGAAUGGAGGUCCAUAUACUAUAGGUCUAAAUAUGUUAACAUUAUCAAUCAAAUUUACAAACACGAAAUAAAAUAUAUUUGGCCACCUUCUUUGCCAAAGCCUAAUGAAGAGAAGCUGGUGGGAGACCAUGGGGAGAAGUGGCCCUGGCCUGAAGUCCAUCCCCUCUUCUCUUCCCACCCCUGGUUCCACAGGCACUGCAACAUGAAUCCUGCUCACAUGUGUGGACAGCCCAGCAUGCAAGCUAUAUCCAUGCCCUGCCCCUGUAAACGUGGCUCCCUUUGCCCUCCUGGAGCCUAGAGGUUUUAUGAAAGCAGUGGCACAGUGACCCUCAGGAGGACAGGCAGGGAGGACAGAUGCUCACAGGCCCUGGGCCCAAGCUUGGAGCCUUUGCAUCCUUCAAUCCAAUUAAAUUGACACUCAGUAUUAGCCAUCACACCAAUUAGACAAUUCCAGGGUCCAGAAGGGAACAUAGGCUCCAAUUGGGCCUAUCCCCUUGGCCUGGAGGACUCUCCCUUACAUGGGAAGAAAGACAGCCAGCAAAAUACCAGAGCACAGCCCUCUAAGAAUAAAAGGGAUGAAGGCCUCCCUAGCCUGGUUCAAAGGGCAGGACUGCUCAGGGCUGAUGGACAAGACACAUCUAGUACCUCUUUUCUUCCAUCUCAAACCUGUCCGUGGCACUACUGAAUGGCUCUUUUUUGAGGAAAGAGGGCUUUGUUUUUCAUUUUAUUUUUGCUUUCUCUAAAUAUGCCCUGCAGAUCUUUCCUUUAACAGUGUGGGGACUGAACAAGCAGCUUCUGGCCCUGGCCCUGUUUCUGUAUCUGGAGCAACACAAUAGAACAUCUGCCUUGACCCGGACUGCCUUCCAUUCUGCACAUCAUUUCCCAUCUGUGCCAGGAGAGGGGUGAAGCUGUCAAUACAUAUCAACUGUAUGGACUCCUGCCUGUUCUCUGCUACAAGGGCUGGAAGCUUCCCUGUGAUGAAGAAAGGCAACCUCAAUGCUUCGGAGGCUUAGCACUAUUUGCCCACCCAAGAAUCCAUCAGGAAAACUGAAAUUAUAGAGUACAUUGUGGUGAAGUUGUAACAAAACAGCAACUGAUGAAUAUGAGUUUUUGUCACAUUCCCUAGGCCACUGGAGUCACCCAAUCAUUCCUUCAGCUUCGGCUGACUCUGCAAAGGGCUCUGUGUUCUAGCUCUCGACUUGUGCAGUGGGAGAAGAGUCUUAGUAUAGAGUGGCCCAUUUGAGCGGGGUUCAAUGGGCUGCACCACAGACUCUGGGAUAGCAGGUGAUAUUUCGUAUCGCCUAGGCAGCACUGAAAGGAACAUUAAGCUGCAUUUCCAUUAUCAGUGAGGUCCGUAGUGUCCUGAGGAUCAGAAUCCCAGCAUUCUAAUCAGUCUGCCUAAUAUUUUCCGGGGCAGCCUCCUAAAAUCCUAUGAUUGGUUUGCAUAGGAAGUCUGAACCACCUUUCUUAAGGGAAAAGUGAUCUACAAGAAUGCCCGGAGUAUGAUGAGCCGAGGAGAGAUUCAGUGACAAGUUAAAGAGCCUUGUACUAUGAACAAAAGGAUCACUUCUGGGGAACCUAAGGAUUUCUGCAGAGAGGAGUGGCUCAUUUGGCUGGAGUAUUAAAAUCCACGAAAACUGCUGAAAGAUCAGUAAGGAAAUUUCUGUUCAGAGAGGCCCAGACCCCAGUCUUAGCCUUUGCCCUCGUGUGAAUUACUCUGCAGACCCCAAACCACCUAAUAGUGCUAGAAAAAAAUCUUCUAUUUCUCAUGUUAAAUCAUGAAAUUUUAUAAGUUUAGGUUGAAGAGAAAAGCAAGGACAUCUAAACCGAAUACCAAUGUCAUGCUUAGUUCCUCUGCAAGGUGCCGCCAAGCUGACUUUCAUCCUCCAUGGGACACCUUAAAGGAGAGGGAACUCACUGCUUGUAGCUGUGGACAUUUCUGAUUACUAAAAGUUCUCAUUAUCUAUCAAAGUCCUGAACAUCAAGUGUCUAAAAACAGAGACCUAUAUCUUAACCUCUAGCAUCCUCCCCAAAUGAGGGAGGAUGUGUAUUUGCAAAGUCAGCUGCUGGAAUAGAUGUCACACUGCAAGUAUUGACCUUCACAAAAAUAGAAUAUUUUGCCUAGAAUGUUGGCUAAGGAAUCAGUUUCGUUUUGUGUGUGGCUGUGUGAAGAAAAUAACAUUUUAUUCUGUGAAUAGUUUUAGUAGGGAUACAAAUUUCAGGUUACUAAUGCAUGAAAACACUUUAAAGUAUAUUUCAAGUGAAAAUUAUCAAUAAUCAUGAUAAUAAUAAUAGAAUUCUGCACAGAAUAUAUUCUUCUCGGGCAGUCAGUCUGUGGCAGACAUGCUUGAGGUAGGAAAAUUUAUGCCUGUAUUCAUUCAUUCAUUUAUUUAUACAUUCAUCAAAUAUUUAUUGACUACCAACUAUGGGCUCAGCCCUAAAAUGACUGGGAUGAAAGACCGGAGUUUCUUCCCCUAAGAAGGAGCUCAGAAUCUAGCAGGAAAGAUGAUGAUGUAAACAACUCAUUAUGACACUGAGAAGAGAUGCCAAGGGUUCUGUGGAACUGAGGAUGUGCACCUGGAUUAACUCAGAAGGAAUUUCCCAGGGUAAAUGGGACAUCGCAGAUUGAUAUCAGCUGGUUCUCUUCAUUGCCUCCUCCAGAAUCUCCAGUUCCUUGAUGAGUUAGAGAUACACAACUCCUGGGAUGUUAACUAAAAUUUGCUAUUGUUUUCUGGGCUCUGUUGAGUAAGUAGCCUUACUUUUUGAUGAGAACCAAGAAACCUGAGCAUUGGAUAAAAAUAAAAUAUAAAUUCCACUGAAAUACAAGCAAGUUAUCCUUCAUUCACAGGUAGGCGAAUGAACCAAAUUUCCUUCUUUCACAAGGAUACUGUGAGCUUAAUGAGGCCAAACAAACGCAUGUUUUGACUCACUCAUUUAGGCUAAAUUUACUUUGGAGAAGUGAAUGGGUUAAAGUCAAGACUGAAUGAUCUGGAAUGCAUCUUUUUGAAGGAAAUGGAGCUAUGCAUGUAGAGGAGAAUGAAAAUUAAGGGGAAGUUACAAGACAAAGGUUGGCUAUAUUUUUUUAUAACUUCUGCAGUUGUGUAUUGAAAGGGAAUUUGACUGUGAUGGAGAUUUAUGUCUUGAAGAUAAAUGAAAUUUCUCCAAUUUGUGCUAUUAUGUAGCUCAUCUUUUCACAGAAAUCCAAGACUACUGACAGAUCAAGAGGUUUCACAUUUCAGAUCCUUUCAGCAUUCAGCAAAUGCAAUAAAUAUCAGAGGUGGCCGGUGUUGAAUGUAAGAGCAGAUGUUGUUUCUGCAGGAAGCAGGAUGGAAACUUACAUCUACUGGCUUGCUGCAACUUUGAGGAGACUUUCUUCUAUACCUUCCUCUAAAUGUGACUUGAAACCUUCUGCCGUGAUAUUUUAAUAAACUUUCUAUAUCCUGAUGUUUCCUUUAAGGGUAUCAUUCUUGCCCAAGUUACCACCUUGACAAGAGACUAUCUCCAUAGCCCAUCUGUUAGUUCAAUUAACAGAGGCUUCUGAGAUUUUUGCUUGGGGACUCAGCAUUUAUAUUUAUACCUCAUCCUCUAAGAGUAAUUCUUGCAAAUAAUCUUUGGGAAUGGUGGCUGCUUCCUAUCUAGCUUUGAAGAUCCUGCUUUUAAUGAAGAAUGUUUUUGCCAGAAAAAAAAAGGACUUAAAAUAUCUACCUCCAUGAUUCCAUGUCUUUCUGGAGUGUGGAUUUAUUUUUUGUGGCCAAAUCACCUUCUGUGAAAUGAAGUAUUUGUAUCUUACUUAUGAGGGCCAGGCUUAAGUUCUCUUGGGACAACUGAAUUGCACAGCUGGCUGGAAUUGACACCACAAGUUUUGACUCUUUCUGAAGACAGUAUUAUGGAUGGCUUGCACACACUGGCUUCUUAAAUGUAAUCAAAUGGAGGAGGGGUUCUGUCUCUGUGGUGGGCAAAAGAGAGUGUUUCAGAAAUACAGGUGGAAGGUGCUCUUUGUGUCUGUGCUGAGCAAAAAAAUAAAUUCUGGUCUGGUAAACUGCAUCCAACUCAGUUUGACCAGACAAGCCAAAUUUACAUGUUUCUGGUAUGGAAAGACCUUAAACAUACAAAGAACGUGAUAUGGCAGACACUAAUCAAUGAACCCCUUAAUCCAAAUAUACUCUAGCCUAUGACAGACUCUA